AUGAACGCUGGCGGCGUGCCUAAUACAUGCAAGUCGAACGCUUUGUGGUUCAACUGAUUUGAAGAGCUUGCUCAGAUAUGACGAUGGACAUUGCAAAGAGUGGCGAACGGGUGAGUAACACGUGGGAAACCUACCUCUUAGCAGGGGAUAACAUUUGGAAACAGAUGCUAAUACCGUAUAACAAUGACAACCGCAUGGUUGUUAUUUAAAAGAUGGUUCUGCUAUCACUAAGAGAUGGUCCCGCGGUGCAUUAGCUAGUUGGUAAGGUAAUGGCUUACCAAGGCGAUGAUGCAUAGCCGAGUUGAGAGACUGAUCGGCCACAAUGGGACUGAGACACGGCCCAUACUCCUACGGGAGGCAGCAGUAGGGAAUCUUCCACAAUGGGCGAAAGCCUGAUGGAGCAACGCCGCGUGUGUGAUGAAGGGUUUCGGCUCGUAAAACACUGUUGUAAGAGAAGAAUGACAUUGAGAGUAACUGUUCAAUGUGUGACGGUAUCUUACCAGAAAGGAACGGCUAAAUACGUGCCAGCAGCCGCGGUAAUACGUAUGUUCCAAGCGUUAUCCGGAUUUAUUGGGCGUAAAGCGAGCGCAGACGGUUAUUUAAGUCUGAAGUGAAAGCCCUCAGCUCAACUGAGGAAUUGCUUUGGAAACUGGAUGACUUGAGUGCAGUAGAGGAAAGUGGAACUCCAUGUGUAGCGGUGAAAUGCGUAGAUAUAUGGAAGAACACCAGUGGCGAAGGCGGCUUUCUGGACUGUAACUGACGUUGAGGCUCGAAAGUGUGGGUAGCAAACAGGAUUAGAUACCCUGGUAGUCCACACCGUAAACGAUGAGUGCUAGGUGUUUGAGGGUUUCCGCCCUUAAGUGCCGCAGCUAACGCAUUAAGCACUCCGCCUGGGGAGUACGACCGCAAGGUUGAAACUCAAAGGAAUUGACGGGGACCCGCACAAGCGGUGGAGCAUGUGGUUUAAUUCGAAGCAACGCGAAGAACCUUACCAGGUCUUGACAUCCCUUGACAACUCCAGAGAUGGAGCGUUCCCUUCGGGGACAAGGUGACAGGUGGUGCAUGGUUGUCGUCAGCUCGUGUCGUGAGAUGUUGGGUUAAGUCCCGCAACGAGCGCAACCCUUAUUACUAGUUGCCAGCAUUCAGUUGGGCACUCUAGUGAGACUGCCGGUGACAAACCGGAGGAAGGUGGGGAUGACGUCAAAUCAUCAUGCCCCUUAUGACCUGGGCUACACACGUGCUACAAUGGCGUAUACAACGAGUUGCCAACCCGCGAGGGUGAGCUAAUCUCUUAAAGUACGUCUCAGUUCGGAUUGUAGGCUGCAACUCGCCUACAUGAAGUCGGAAUCGCUAGUAAUCGCGGAUCAGCACGCCGCGGUGAAUACGUUCCCGGGUCUUGUACACACCGCCCGUCA
RNAcentral lists this ribosomal RNA (1415 nucleotides) under uncultured Bacilli bacterium. RNAcentral's name for it is "16S ribosomal RNA". It matches the Rfam family "Bacterial small subunit ribosomal RNA", at positions 29 to 1399 of the family's 1533-position model. The record is from RNAcentral. Lineage: Bacteria; Bacillati; Bacillota; Bacilli.